UACAGAGGGGGCAAGCGUUGUUCGGAAUUACUGGGCGUAAAGGGCGCGUAGGCGGCCUGUUAAGUCGAACGUGAAAUCCCCAGGCUCAACCUGGGAACUGCGUCUGAUACUGGAUGGCUUGAAUCCGGGAGAGGGAUGCAGAAUUCCAGGUGUAGCGGUGAAAUGCGUAGAUAUCUGGAGGAAUACCGGUGGCGAAGGCGGCAUCCUGGACCGGCAUUGACGCUGAGGAGCGAAAGCUAGGGGAGCAAACGGG
Molecule: ribosomal RNA, 253 nt
Filed under: uncultured bacterium
Lineage: Bacteria
Description: partial 16S ribosomal RNA
Rfam family: Bacterial small subunit ribosomal RNA
Source: RNAcentral